This 850-nucleotide ribosomal RNA is filed under the name uncultured archaeon. RNAcentral describes it as "bacterial SSU rRNA". It matches the Rfam family "Archaeal small subunit ribosomal RNA", at positions 70 to 922 of the family's 1478-position model. The record is from RNAcentral.
AGCAAUAUGUGGCAUACGGCUCAGUAACACGUAGUCAACAUGCCCAGGGGACGUGGAUAACCUCGGGAAACUGAGGAUAAACCGCGAUAAGUCACUACUUCUGGAAUGGGUAAUGACUUAAAUCUAUAUGGCCCCUGGAUUGGACUGCGGCCGAUCAGGCUGUUGGUGAGGUAAUGGCCCACCAAACCUGUAACCGGUACGGGCUCUGAGAGGAGGAGCCCGGAGAUGGGCACUGAGACAAGGGCCCAGGCCCUAUGGGGCGCAGCAGGCGCGAAACCUCUGCAAUAGGCGAAAGCCUGACAGGGUUACUCUGAGUGAUUUCCGUUAAGGAGAUCUUUUGGCACCUCUAAAAAUGGUGCAGAAUAAGGGGUGGGCAAGUCUGGUGUCAGCCGCCGCGGUAAUACCAGCACCCCGAGUGGUCGGGACGUUUAUUGGGCCUAAAGCAUCCGUAGCCGGUUCUGCAAGUCUUCCGUUAAAUCCACCUGCUUAACAGAUGGGCUGCGGAAGAUACUAUAGAGCUAGGAGGCGGGAGAGGCAAGCGGUACUCGAUGGGUAGGGGUAAAAUCCGUUGAUCCAUUGAAGACCACCAGUGGCGAAGGCGGCUUGCCAGAACGCGCUCGACGGUGAGGGAUGAAAGCUGGGGGAGCAAACCGGAUUAGAUACCCGGGUAGUCCCAGCUGUAAACGAUGCAGACUCGGUGAUGAAUUGGCUUCAUGCCAAUUCAGUGCCGCAGGGAAGCCGUUAAGUUUGCCGCCUGGGGAGUACGGUCGCAAGACUGAAACUUAAAGGAAUUGGCGGGGGAGCACCACAAGGGGUGAAGCCUGCGGUUCAAUUGGGAUUCAACGCCGGA